GCCUGAGUAGCUCAGUUGGAAGAGCAGCGCACUUGUAAUGCGCCGGUCGGGGGUCCGAGUCCCUCCUCAGGCU
RNAcentral lists this transfer RNA (73 nucleotides) under Acidobacteriota bacterium. RNAcentral describes it as "Acidobacteria bacterium tRNA-Thr". It matches the Rfam family "tRNA". Rfam says of the family: Transfer RNA (tRNA) molecules are approximately 80 nucleotides in length. Their secondary structure includes four short double-helical elements and three loops (D, anti-codon, and T loops). RNAcentral also lists the same sequence under 1 other name. Lineage: Bacteria; Pseudomonadati; Acidobacteriota. The record is from RNAcentral.